UACGGAUGAUCCGAGCGUUAUCCGGAAUUAUUGGGUUUAAAGGGUGCGUAGGCGGCCAUUUAAGUCAGCGGUGAAAUUUUGCAGCUUAACUGUAACAGUGCCGUUGAUACUGUUUGGCUAGGAUUUGGUUGUAGUGUGCGGAAUGUGUGGUGUAGCGGUGAAAUGCUUAGAUAUCACACAGAACACCGAUUGCGAAGGCAGCACACCAAGUCAUUAUUGACGCUGAGGCACGAAAGUGUGGGGAUCAAACAGGAUUA
Molecule: ribosomal RNA, 257 nt
Filed under: uncultured prokaryote
Description: partial 16S ribosomal RNA
Rfam family: Bacterial small subunit ribosomal RNA
Source: RNAcentral